This 645-nucleotide ribosomal RNA is filed under the name uncultured bacterium. RNAcentral's name for it is "bacterial SSU rRNA". It matches the Rfam family "Bacterial small subunit ribosomal RNA", at positions 153 to 796 of the family's 1533-position model. The record is from RNAcentral.
GAAAGGCGGGCUAAACCCGCGUACAUGCCACCGGGGCAUCCCGGAGGCAGGAAAGGCUUCGGCCGGACAGGGAUGGGCAUGCGGCGCAUUAGGCAGUAGGCGGGGUAACGGCCCACCUAACCGACGAUGCGUAGGGGUUCUGAGAGGAAGGUCCCCCACACUGGUACUGAGACACGGACCAGACUCCUACGGGAGGCAGCAGUGAGGAAUAUUGGUCAAUGGUCGGGAGACUGAACCAGCCAAGCCGCGUGAGGGAUGAAGGUACAGAGUAUCGUAAACCUCUUUUGUCAGGGAACAAAGGCGGGGACGUGUCCCCGGAUGAGUGUACCUGAAGAAAAAGCAUCGGCUAACUCCGUGCCAGCAGCCGCGGUAAUACGGAGGAUGCGAGCGUUAUCCGGAUUUAUUGGGUUUGAAGGGUGCGCAGGCGGUCUGUUAAGUCAGCGGUCAAAGCCCGGGGCUCAACCCCGGCCCGCCGUUGAAACUGGCAGUCUCGAGUUGGAGAGAAGUAUGCGGAAUGCGCGGUGUAGCGGUGAAAUGCAUAGAUAUCGCGCAGAACUCCGAUUGCGAAGGCAGCAUGCCGGCUCCACACUGACGCUGAGGCACGAAAGCGUGGGUAUCGAACAGGAUUAGAUACCCUGGUAGUCC